Molecule: ribosomal RNA, 292 nt
Filed under: uncultured bacterium
Lineage: Bacteria
Description: partial 16S ribosomal RNA
Rfam family: Bacterial small subunit ribosomal RNA
Source: RNAcentral
GUGCCAGCCGCCGCGGUAAUACGUAGGGGGCAAGCGUUGUCCGGAUUUACUGGGUGUAAAGGGCGCGCAGGCGGAUUGACAAGUCAGAGGUGAAAUCCUGCAGCUUAACUGCAGAACUGCCUUUGAAACUGUCAAUCUUGAGUACGGAAGAGAGAGACGGAAUUCCAGGUGUAGUGGUGAAAUACGUAGAUAUCUGGAAGAACACCAGUUGCGAAGGCGGUCUCUUGGUCCGUUACUGACGCUCAGGCGCGAAAGCGUGGGUAGCAAACAGGAUUAGAAACCCUCGUAGUCC